GCUCAGGUGGCGAAAUGGUAGACGCUGAGGACUUAAAAUCCUUUGGCCGCAAGGCCGUGCGGGUUCGAGUCCCGCCCCGAGCACCA
Molecule: transfer RNA, 86 nt
Filed under: Puniceicoccales bacterium
Lineage: Bacteria; Pseudomonadati; Verrucomicrobiota; Opitutia; Puniceicoccales
Description: tRNA-Leu
Rfam family: tRNA
About the family: Transfer RNA (tRNA) molecules are approximately 80 nucleotides in length. Their secondary structure includes four short double-helical elements and three loops (D, anti-codon, and T loops). Further hydrogen bonds mediate the characteristic L-shaped molecular structure. tRNAs have two regions of fundamental functional importance: the anti-codon, which is responsible for specific mRNA codon recognition, and the 3' end, to which the tRNAs corresponding amino acid is attached (by aminoacyl-tRNA synthetases). tRNAs cope with the degeneracy of the genetic code in two manners: having more than one tRNA (with a specific anti-codon) for a particular amino acid; and 'wobble' base-pairing, i.e. permitting non-standard base-pairing at the 3rd anti-codon position.
Source: RNAcentral